UCGCAGUGAUGAAGAUGUGUUCGUGUGCCAGAUAAAGAGCUCUCUAUCGAGCUCUUUGGUGAUGGCAAACACAACCCUCUAAGAAGUUCUGAGCGA
Small nucleolar RNA from Magnolia sinica, 96 nucleotides. RefSeq annotates it as small nucleolar RNA U61. NCBI's taxonomy places the organism in Eukaryota, Viridiplantae, Streptophyta, Magnoliopsida, Magnoliales, Magnoliaceae. The record is from RefSeq and is a predicted model, not a curated record. The transcript has a single exon.